Piloderma croceum F 1598 is the source of this 95-nucleotide transfer RNA. It matches the Rfam family "tRNA". From Rfam's summary of the family: Transfer RNA (tRNA) molecules are approximately 80 nucleotides in length. Their secondary structure includes four short double-helical elements and three loops (D, anti-codon, and T loops). The record is from Rfam. Lineage: Eukaryota; Fungi; Basidiomycota; Agaricomycetes; Atheliales; Atheliaceae.
GCAUUAAUGGGGUAGUGGUAACCUGGGUCGUUGCCAAUCGGCUUACGUUAGCGCGUAAAGUCGACCCGCCGGGGGUUCGAUUCCCUCUUAAUGCA